This 788-nucleotide ribosomal RNA is filed under the name uncultured bacterium. RNAcentral's name for it is "bacterial SSU rRNA". It matches the Rfam family "Bacterial small subunit ribosomal RNA", at positions 56 to 852 of the family's 1533-position model. The record is from RNAcentral.
UGCAGUCGAGCGAGAUUCAACCGGUGGCAACACCGGGGAAGAUCGAGCGGCGAACGGGUGAGUAACACGUGAGCAACCUGCCCCGAAGACUGGGAUAACACCGGGAAACCGGUGCUAAUACCGGAUACCCCCACCAGGCCGCAUGACCAGGUGAGGAAAUGAAUUUCGCUUCGGGAGGGGCUCGCGGGCUAUCAGCUUGUUGGUGGGGUAACGGCCUACCAAGGCGACGACGGCUAGCUGGUCUGAGAGGACGACCAGCCACACUGGGACUGAGACACGGCCCAGACUCCUACGGGAGGCAGCAGUGGGGAAUCUUGCGCAAUGGGCGAAAGCCUGACGCAGCAACGCCGCGUGGGGGAUGAAGGCCUUCGGGUCGUAAACCCCUUUCAGCAGGGACGAAAAUGACGGUACCUGCAGAAGAAGCCCCGGCCAACUACGUGCCAGCAGCCGCGGUAAUACGUAGGGGGCGAGCGUUGUCCGGAUUCAUUGGGCGUAAAGAGCUCGUAGGCGGUUUGAUAAGUCGGGUGUGAAAUCUCCAGGCUCAACCUGGAGAGGUCACUCGAGACUGUUAUGACUAGAGUCCGGUAGGGGACCACGGAAUUCCUGGUGUAGCGGUGAAAUGCGCAGAUAUCAGGAGGAACACCAGUGGCGAAGGCGGUGGUCUGGGCCGGAACUGACGCUGAGGAGCGAAAGCGUGGGUAGCAAACAGGAUUAGAUACCCUGGUAGUCCACGCCGUAAACGUUGGGCACUAGGUGUGGGGCCUUAUCAACGGGUUCCGUGCCGUAGC